UACGGAGGGUGCGAGCGUUGUCCGGAAUCAUUGGGCGUAAAGCGCGCGCAGGCGGUCCUUUAAGUCUGAUGUGAAAGCCCACGGCUCAACCGUGGAGGGUCAUUGGAAACUGGGGGACUUGAGUACAGAAGAGAAGAGUGGAAUUCCACGUGUAGCGGUGAAAUGCGUAGAGAUGUGGAGGAACACCAGUGGCGAAGGCGACUCUUUGGUCUGUAACUGACGCUGAGGCGCGAAAGCGUGGGGAGCAAACAGG
Molecule: ribosomal RNA, 253 nt
Filed under: uncultured bacterium
Lineage: Bacteria
Description: partial 16S ribosomal RNA
Rfam family: Bacterial small subunit ribosomal RNA
Source: RNAcentral